Arachis ipaensis is the source of this 2571-nucleotide non-coding RNA. The record is from RefSeq and is a predicted model, not a curated record. NCBI's taxonomy places the organism in Eukaryota, Viridiplantae, Streptophyta, Magnoliopsida, Fabales, Fabaceae.
GAUACUCUGAAUAUUUGGGAGCUCUCCGAUAAUGGAUGAUGUACCAUGGAAGCUAUUAUUUGGCAUAGUUAAAGAAACAAGACAUGAAACAUUUGCAUAUGUUUGCAUUUGGGGUGAGAGGUUAUUUGUUGGGGAGGUCCAUGACCCAAAUGAUUGAAGGAAACACAUCACGGAACAAUCCUUCAAAGCCACACAAAGAAACAUAUACAAUGCUUUUCAAUCUUAUCAGUGCAUUUGGCACUUGUGUUAUAGCAGUUUUAUUGGCCAUCAAAGUUGUCAAAGAUUCCAUCUGUUCUAAAUCCUCUUCCAACUUGUUAAUUUGUGAACAUCCAGAAAGAAUGAGAGUUUUCAGAGAUUUCAACUUGUAGAUGCUUCUUGGAAGUAUACGAAGGCUUGUGCAACCUUUCAGAUUGACUAGAAGAAUUUUUUUAAGAUCUCGAAUGGCUUUCCCAUUCAUUCAUCCCGGUGGUGCAAGGCCGGCCGAAAGGUCUUUUGGCCGACUCCUCUUCAUGUUCUAUUGAUCAGAAGCAUCCAGCAGCGCCACAAGAGCUAAUUCGUUCUUAGCUGUUUUAGCUUCUUAGAAACAGACUAAAGGGAACUACCGGCUUUGUUAUGGAUAGAGGUUAGAUAAAAGAAAGAAGAAGUAGCUUUCUGGCUUUGAGCUGGAACAAGGUAUGAUCCUUAGGAAGGGCAGAGCCCGUUUCCGAUGUGAGAUAGAAUAUCCGGGGAUCCCUAAAUAAAGCGUUCGCCUCUAUCGCCUACUUACUCGGGGAUGCCGUCUUAGAUCUCCCGAUCCGCCCCCUGCGAGUGCUGGGAGGCUUUAUUCACGGGAUAGGCUAUCAAUUCGGUCAGAAAAAAGCGGAAGAAGCGCUGUGCUAGUGAAUCGAGAAGUCUUUCACAGUCUUAUUUAUUGAAGUGAACUUUCUGCAAUAGCCGAGUUCAUCCAAGGAGCAGAAGAGGGUAGAGGAGGAAUCUGUCGCUACUGUAGUUACUCUAUUGUCUCUAUCUGUCGGUCCUUUCCGUAUUCCCGUUCUCUUAUAAGAUUGAGAAUUUCCAACUUCAUUAACGUCUGCAAAAAAUUCAAUAAAAAGUAAAUAAAUAAACGAAGAAGCUACCUGCGAACUUUUUUUUUUUAAUAUUGGGCCAAAGGUGGUGUUACCCACCAAAAUGACCAUACAGCUGAGGAGAGUUUAACGUCGCUAUGGGAGCCGUCAAAUGCUGCAAGAAAAACAUCAACACCGUUAUGUGGAAAACGUCACUAACGUUUUGAUCAAAAUGUUACCGACAUUUUGUUGUGCAUGAUCAACACGUGGCAGGUUCCUCUCUCUUCUCACACAUUGAUGAAAAUGCCAACUCUCUUCUUCCUUCAUUCUUUUUUCUUCAGUCCAUAGUCUCAUUAUUCUUAUCCAUAGUCUUCAUUCUUUCUUCUUCAUUUUGUUUAUCCCACAUCCCCACAACAAAAAAAACGACAGCUCCACAUUUCCGCAACAAGAAAAAUGGCAACAGUCAAAGAUUAAAAAAGCGUUAAAGACAAAAAUGGAAAAACGUGACAUCACACGUGCUGACGAGCAUAUAUCAGAAUAUCUUCAACAUCCUAUAUAUGGUUCAAGAAAUUUGCACAGUAGACACUUACACCAAAUAGACUCAUAUGAUGCUAGGGUGGAAGAACAACUCAGAGAGAGCGGAUUCUAUCAUAUAUCUCAGAUUGGAAGGAUCAUGUCUCACGGUCCAACUAUAGAUGCACUAGUUGAAAGGUGGCGGCUUGAGAUGCACACAUUUCAUCUUCCACACGGCGAGUACACAACUACGUUGGAGGACGUUGCCAUGAUUUUUGGACUCCGAACUCACGGCUUGCCAAUUACUGGAUCAACUGACCACAGCACAAAUGGGUUAGAGAAUGAGUGCAUGACCCAAUUUGGUAUUGCUCCUGGCCCGAACGACUAUAGAGGAAGCGGAGUCAAGCUAGCAUGGUUCCGCACCCUAAAGCGGCGCCAACAUUUGAAUGGCGCAGUAAGUAGGGAAAUUUAUGUAAAAUGUCACAUAAUGUGUCUAUUUGGAACAACCUUAUUUAGUGACAAGUCUGGAAUUAGUGUGCAUUGGAAGUAUUUGUCGUUGCUUCGUGACUUUUCUCAAAUUCACAAGUUUAAUUGGGGUUCAGCUUGCCUUGCACACAUGUAUCGAUCCUUAUGUCGGGCAUCUAGGUAUGAUUGCAAGGACAUUGAUGGUCCUAUGUCAUUGCUCCUUGUAUGGGCAUAGUUACGAAUGCCGUCAAUAGGACCACUGCCGAUGGAUACUACUUUUCCAUUUGCUCGCAGGUGGAAUGAUUAUCAAUCAGCUAUCGAGCAAUAUAAAAAUUGGACAACUGCUGACGUCAGGAGAAGGUUGGACGAUCUUUCUCCGGACGGAGUAUAUGUUUCGUCAUUUAGAUUUGAUGUUAUGCUAUAUUAAAUUCAUGAUUGCUCAUUUAUAACUUUGAGAUUUAAUGUGUUUUUACAGUUUGUGUGGGAUGCAUAUAGUCCCAACCGAAUUGCACCACAUCUUAUUCCAUUUGAGACCAUUUAUAUUACCUUU